GUAUAUCUCUGCGGUCACAUUCUCU
This 25-nucleotide non-coding RNA is filed under the name Mus musculus (house mouse). Lineage: Eukaryota; Metazoa; Chordata; Mammalia; Rodentia; Muridae. The record is from RNAcentral.